AAACCGAGUGGAAGUCCGUCCAAGAAAAUCUCCGCGGGAGCAGAGCGGUGACCGUACCAAAUCUGACACAGGAGGGCGAGGCGAAUAGCCUCAGGCGCGCGAGAGAACCCUACGUGAAGGAACUCGGCAAAUUAACCCCGUAAGUUCGCGAUAAGGGGUGCCCCCGUAAGGGGGGCCACAGGAAAACGACAGCUGCGACUGUUUACUAAAAACACAGGUCUCUGCGAAGUCGUCAAAGACGACGUAUAGGGACUGACGCUUGCCCGCUGUUGGAACGUUAAGGUGACUGGUUAGCCGCAAGGCGAGGCUGGGAACCGAAGCGCCAAUGAAGGGCGGCCGUAACUAUGACGGUCCUAAGGUAGCGAAAUUCCUUGUCGGGUAAGUUCCGACCCGCACGAAUAGCGUAACGACAGCUGUACUGUCUCCACGAGGGACUCGGCGAAAUUGUAGUUGUGGUGAAGAUGCCACAUACCCGCACCAAGACGGAAAGACCCCGUGAACCUUUACUGUAACCUAAUACUGGCUCUAGGUUCGCCAUGUGUAGCAUAGGUGGGAGACGUUAAUGUCGGGGGCGCCAGCCUCCGAAUAGUCUUCAGUGAAAUACCACUCUUGGCGAUCUUGGAGUCUAACCUGCGACCGUUAUCCGGCGUGGGAACAGUGUUAGGCGGGCAGUUUGACUGGGGCGGUCUCCUCCUAAAAGGUAACGGAGGAGUGCAAAGGUACCCUCAAUGCGGUUGGCAAUCGCAUGAAGAGCGUAAAGGUAUAAGGGUGCUUGACUGCGAGACACAUAGGUCGAGCAGGUACGAAAGUAGGUCUUAGUGAUCCGGUGGUCCCGUGUGGAAGGGCCAUCGCUCAUCAGAUAAAAGGUACUCCGGGGAUAACAGGCUGAUCACGCCCAAGAGUCCAUAUCGACGGCGUGGUUUGGCACCUCGAUGUCGGCUCAUCGCAUCCUGGGGCUGAAGGCGGUCCCAAGGGUUGGUCUGUUCGCCCAUUAAAGCGGUACGUGAGCUGGGUUUAGACCGUCGUGAGACAGGUCGGUCCCUAUCUGGUGUGGGCGCAGGAUGAUUGCGGAGACUCUUUCCUAGUACGAGAGGAUUGGAAAGAACGGACCUCUGGUGUGCCAGUUGUCGCGCUAGCGGCAUCGCUGGAUAGCUAUGUCCGGGCUGGAUAAGCGCUGAAAGCAUCUAAGUGCGAAGCCAACUCCAAGACUGGUCAUCCCAUGAGACACCUGGUAGACCACCAGGUUGAUAGGCCGGAAGUGUAAGGACAGCAAUGUUCUCAGCUAACCGGUACUAACCAGUCGAUCGGCUUGAUCC
RNAcentral lists this ribosomal RNA (1316 nucleotides) under metagenome. RNAcentral describes it as "bacterial LSU rRNA". It matches the Rfam family "Bacterial large subunit ribosomal RNA", at positions 1589 to 2925 of the family's 2925-position model. The record is from RNAcentral.